CCUACGGGGGGCAGCAGUGGGGAAUAUUGCGCAAUGGGCGAAAGCCUGACGCAGCGACGCCGCGUGAGGGAUGAAGGUCUUCGGAUAGUAAACCUCUGUCAGCAGGGAAGAACGGUCACUGUGCUAAUCAGCAGUGAAUGGACGGUACCGGCAAAGGAAGCACCGGCUAACUCCGAGCAAGCAGCCGCGGUAAGACGGAGGGGGCGAGCGUUAAUCGGAAUUACUGGGCGUAAAGAGCGCGUAGGCGGUAUGUCCAGUCAAGGGUGAAAUCCCCGCGCGCCACGUGGGAACUGCCUUUGAAACUGGCAACCUGGAGUGUGUGAGCGUUUAGUGGAAUUCCAGGUGU
RNAcentral lists this ribosomal RNA (346 nucleotides) under uncultured bacterium. RNAcentral's name for it is "partial 16S ribosomal RNA". It matches the Rfam family "Bacterial small subunit ribosomal RNA", at positions 338 to 676 of the family's 1533-position model. The record is from RNAcentral.